UUUCCUUUCGCUUCGCUUUAUAAUGUCAUAGUGCUCACUGCGCAACUCUCCCUCAGUGUGUGUCGGCACUAUGUGGAAUGCAUUUUCUACAUUUAAGUGCACAAAACAUUUGUCUUUAUGUACAACAGUGUGUAAAACCUGUACGUAUGCAUAAGAUAACGUGUACAUUUAUGUAAUGUGUGUAUAUCCCUGAAAUUAAUAUAAUAUCAGAGGUAGAUGGAUUCAGUGUAAAUACUAUUUUAUCUGUAGUGAAAUCGAGUGACUCUCACUGGCACAGCUUUUGAAGGAAAUGGGUAAAGUCCACACUCUGCAUUAGGCUUAAGUUUGUCUCUAUUGAUGAGGCAGAAUGCAUGACAUAAACUAUUCCACAUGUUCACACAUCUAGGUAGCCUGGUUGCAAAUCUGUUUGUGCUGUAUAUGACACUGGCUAUACAGUUGGCUAUUCAGGCCAGACAGAUCUGGGAACAGGUUAUCUAUGAUUUAAGACCUCUGGUCUUUUGAUUUAGGCCCAGGAGCUUCAUAUGAAUUGAAAGUAUGGCAUUAUUUGGAAUGAGUUUGGUUUUGUUGGUUUGCUAUUCGAUAGCUAGACAUUUUUGCAUAUUCUUCUCCAAAAUAACAGAAAAUAUUUUUUUAAUUGAUUGUUCGAUAAUCUUAUUUUAAUUUAGAGUAGAAAGGGGGUUAUUUAUUUAGGUGUCAGCCAAAGCUUUUCUGUACGUUUGCUCCACCUGAUAAUAAAGUCUAGUUGGUGACUUAGAAAAAGAGAGGAUAUCGCACGCGAGCCACCUCAGGAGCAAUACAAUACAAUUCAACCAGCAGCCAUGUGCUCUUUACAGACAGGUUUCCCACCUAUGCUAAGUAAAAUUUUAGGGCAAAACAUAAAACCCUUCGAAACAUUGAUUUAUCACUUCAUGGAUACAGCAGUGUCAAUGGUGUUACUAUUAUGAUUUGUCACACAAGUUUAUUUAUUUGUCAGAUAUAUUUUUUUACAUUGAUUUUAUCAUCAGUUAUAGACAGUACAUUACACUUUAAUGAAUGUUUUUAGUUCAGAACAACUCCACAAAGGUGGACUUUAAAUCUCGCCAUACUCACCCAAAUGCCUCUUUUGGGUAGAGAUAAAAUAGUUAUCCUUAUGGGCCUAUAUGAAAGCAGAACACUAAGACAAUCCUACACACAACUAAUGGAGCACUUUUUAUGCAGAGAUACGCAUAUUGAUUGUUUAACUGUUUAGAGUGUAAAAGUGUAAAAUAGCAUAAGGGUUUACUUGAAAAGUCAGGUUAGUUUGGUGAGAACUAGUCUGUAUUUGUUUGUGUCAUUGACUAUGGGAGGGACAGCGACUACAUAUCUGGUAAUGACAGAGGACAUUGCCAUCAAAAUCUCAAGCCCUACACUAUUGUGCUAAAAGUACUAAGGCAACUUGUGAUUUGAUGAAUGGAUAUAUUUUUAUUGAAUAACUCAUCUCAAGUGUUCAGCGUUGCUUUCAUUGGAUUUGACUUGACUUGGUCUUCCCAGUCCCUGUUGCACAAGAAGCCUCGUGUGUAUGAGUGUUUGUUGUUCACCUGUGUAGGUGCAGGUCAUCUUCAACAUUAGCUAAUUAUUUUGAAUGUACCACAGGUGUAUACUGAUGUCAUCCGUUUGUUUGUUUUCAUUCAAGUAUAUCUGCUUCAGCUGUGUGUUGCAGGCAAUGGAGAAAUAUAUCUUUAUUUAUUGUUUGAUCAUUGAAAUAAAUAUCUUUAAAUAUGGAUAUCUCCCUUUACUCCCACUCUAUAUUCUUGAAUAUAGGCAUGAAUGUUACAAAUGAUCACCAAAUUAACACCAAAGUAUGGAUUGUUUCCAGCACAGUGAGUACUACAUGAUUAUUCCUCCUGUAAUUGUACUUACAGCGGCAGUUUAUAAUUUCAUAUAUUUAAAACUUGUGUGUGAGAGAAUUGUAUUGUCUGAAGAGAUAGCCUCGAAUUGUACACAGCGUCUCCUCUCACUCUAUCUUGCUCAUUGCAUGUGGCUGUGACCUCACACCGAUUGGCAGUACACCC
This 2030-nucleotide long non-coding RNA is filed under the name Salmo salar (Atlantic salmon). RNAcentral describes it as "lncRNA (ENSSSAG00000101861.1)". Lineage: Eukaryota; Metazoa; Chordata; Actinopteri; Salmoniformes; Salmonidae. The record is from RNAcentral.